RNAcentral lists this ribosomal RNA (301 nucleotides) under uncultured bacterium. RNAcentral's name for it is "partial 16S ribosomal RNA". It matches the Rfam family "Bacterial small subunit ribosomal RNA", at positions 509 to 808 of the family's 1533-position model. The record is from RNAcentral.
CAGUCGCCGCGGUAAUACGUAUGUCACAAGCGUUAUCCGGAUUUAUUGGGCGUAAAGCGCGUCUAGGUGGUUAUGUAAGUCUGAUGUGAAAAUGCAGAGCUCAACUCUGUAUUGCGUUGGAAACUGUGUAACUAGAGUACUGGAGAGGUAAGCGGAACUACAAGUGUAGAGGUGAAAUUCGUAGAUAUUUGUAGGAAUGCCGAUGGGGAAGCCAGCUUACUGGACAGAUACUGACGCUGAAGCGCGAAAGCGUGGGUAGCAAACAGGAUUAGAUACCCGCGUAGUCCCUGUCUCUUAUACA